GACGAACGCUGGCGGCGUGCUUAACACAUGCAAGUCGAACGGAAAGGCCCUGCUUUUGUGGGGUGCCGGGGGGCGGAAGGGGUGAGUAACACGUGAGUAACCUGCCCUUGACUUUGGGAUAACUUCAGGAAACUGGGCCUAAUCCCGGAUCGGAGCUCCUCCUGCAGGGUGGGGGUUGGAAAUUUUGGGCGGUUGGGGUUGGAUUCGCGGCUUACCGGCUAGUUGGUGGGGUAGUGGUUUACCAAGCCUUUGACGGGUAGCCGGCCUGAGAGGGUGACCGGCCACAUUGGGACUGAGAUACGGCCCAGACUCCUACGGGAGGCAGCAGUGGGGAAUAUUGCACAAUGGGCGGAAGCCUGAUGCAGCAACGCCGCGUGCGGGAUGACGGCCUUCGGGUUGUAAACCGCUUUCGCCUGUGACGAAGCGUGAGUGACGGUAAUGGGUAAAGAAGCACCGGCUAACUACGUG
Molecule: ribosomal RNA, 468 nt
Filed under: uncultured bacterium
Lineage: Bacteria
Description: partial 16S ribosomal RNA
Rfam family: Bacterial small subunit ribosomal RNA
Source: RNAcentral